Molecule: unclassified non-coding RNA, 2588 nt
Filed under: Ceratitis capitata (Mediterranean fruit fly)
Lineage: Eukaryota; Metazoa; Arthropoda; Insecta; Diptera; Tephritidae
Description: uncharacterized protein DDB_G0287625, transcript variant X2
Source: RNAcentral
GUUUCUAAUUCUCACUUAGACGGACGGUUGUUUACGGUGAUCUCGAGUCAAGAUGCUAAAUGGAAAAUUCUAUACGGGUCUACCGCCCGGCAUGAUCGAUCGGGGCAGUACACAACGCAACCGCCUGCAAUCGAGUAUCUUCUGGCCAGAUGACACCAAAGUCGAUUCGGCGGUGGAGACGCGUGUAAAGAGGCGUAAUAGUCUACAAAUUGCACAAGCCGAGCGACCGCGACUGCGCAUGCAAUCAUCGGUGAGCGGUGUUGAUGGUGGUGGUGGUUGUGGUGACGCAGAUGUGAAUACGCGACAAUUAUUUCAAAAGGAAUUCUCCAAAUCCUCUAUAGAAUUUCUAGAUAAUUUGGGCGAUGAGACGAAAGUGAGAAAACCGCUACUGUUUAGGGCUGGCAGGAGUGGGGGGAAUGAGGUGACACCGAAACCGACUGCCAUGAAACUGCCUUUGCCGGAGAAUGUGGUGAAUGCUGGUUAUACCACUGCCAAGAAAAAGCAGGCGUUCACCUCGAAAAUCGAGUUCUACGAUUACGUGGGUGACGAGUUAAAUAAUCGGAAUAAUUUGCGACGUUCGAAGAUGGAUAUGAAUGACAAGAAGGAGAUGGAGCGCAAUACGAAGAAUAGUCCAAAAUUGCAAGUGAAAAAUAAUGUGCGUAAUUUAAGCGCAAAUGAAAAGCUCUAUCCAGCCGUACGAAGCGGAAAAUCAGACUUAAAGCAGGGGGAGCAUGAAGCGAGUGCUGACGCAAAGCUUAAUAAUAACAGACGUGUCGAGGUAAGCGAGAGAGCUAAUGAACGAUAUGAUGAAGAUCCUGCAGGCGCUGAUGAGGAAUACGAAAUUGCGCGUCAUAAUGUGACAGGAAUUAAAGUAAACCCGAACACACGCGGCAGCCCCUUGCGUGAUUUGGAAUUUUUAGAAAGUAGACGCACUGUAAGUCCCGAAUAUGGCUACCGUCGUCAACGUCGCUUCCAGGAAUCAUAUGAAGAUGACUAUGAGACACCCGAUUAUCCGCCCAGUGCACGUUAUGGACGUGUGGCGACAGUCCGUCGCGCCAAUAGUGUUGGACGUUUUACAGCGCCACCUAAACGUAUACUCAAAAAUCCCAUAAGAGAACGUAGAUACUAUGAUGAAUACGGUAGCGGGGACUACAGAAUGAGGGAAAUCGGACGAGAUAAUGCACGUUAUGGACACAGAGCUAAUGAAUUGUAUGAGCGCAACCCUGAAGCCGUCGACGAUGUGGAUUAUAUGGAGGGACGCAUGCGAGAUAUGGAUUUGCGUCGAGCUUCGCCCAAAAAACAUGUCACCUACAGUGAUGACACCUACUCACACGACGAUGAAAUGCCAAGUCAGUCACGACGUCUACCGCCGUUGAGUGCGCAGUCGCGUAAUCGCGCGUCAGCAUCAAUACCAGCAGCAAAUAUGCGCACCGGAAGCAAUAGUCAACAACGCCAACAACAACAAGAGUUACGACGUUACAAUAGUGAGAUAGAUAUUGUGGAUGAUGUUAAUGAGACGUUUGUGGGGCACAAAUUUAUGGAAAAUGACAUGCACGACAAUGCAACAACAACAACCACAAAUGCAACCCACAAGCCAUUAAAUAACAGAAGCGUUAAUAAUACUCUGGCCGUGGGAGAUGAGGAGCGCAAUCGUUUGGUCAAUAAAAUAAAUAACAACAACAGCAACAGCAACAAAAAUAAUAAUUACCAUAAUCAUACAACAACAACAUGGAGUCGUCUUAACAAUCAAACAAUCUCAUCAGCUGCACGAAAAAUCACACCAAAAUCGCUAACAACAAAGCAAAACGCUGACAUGCCGACACCAACUCAAGACGCUGAGGUAGCAGCUGCAGCAGUGGGUACGGGUACGGGUACGGGUGUGAAAAAGCAUUUGCGCAGUAGCCUCUGUCUACACAAUGGCGAGAUUAUAGCAAGUGAUGAUGGCGGUGCGACGUCCGCAAAGGCGGCACCCACGCGAAAUGCGCGCACCACAGCGACGCGUCAGCGCAUUAGUGUGGGUCUGCCCGAUUAAUGGCAGUGUGUUGAGGCAAAGCUGAGGGUUAGCGUUGAAGUAAGCAACUGCUUAUAGUUGAGCGCGACCGCGCUGCUCUUGUGUGUGAUUUGUGUUGUUGUGCUUCGUGUUUACAAAGUAUCAGUUUAGCUGGACGCUCUAUAACGCGGGCGUAGUAAAUGGCUUAAAUGUUCCGCGCUCCCGCUAAUUCAUUUAUCUUUCAUAAAUUGAGACAAGCAGCGCAUUUUCAUGCCUUUUGUUUGUUUUGAAUUUUAUGCCUUAAAAUGUAUCAACUUAAAGUGGAAAAUUGAAUACAAAAUGACUUGAGGUGUUUUAAAAGCCAAUUGUGUAUUCAAGUAUAUACAUACAUAAAUAUGUAGUAUGCAAAUAUCAUUGCCAAUAUAGUAACUACAGAUAUUUUCAAACAUUGGUGUAUAUAUUUCUCGACACUCCGGCUCAGCGUGAUUCAUGUGAACAAAUAGAAAGUCUCCUUCGGAAGGUGGAAAUUAAAGUAAUAAUAAAUUUUAAUACAUAUAGUUUUUAUAAUUUAUUUAUAAAAAUCAGAUGAUUAUAUAAA